This 440-nucleotide ribosomal RNA is filed under the name uncultured bacterium. Its description in RNAcentral is "partial 16S ribosomal RNA". It matches the Rfam family "Bacterial small subunit ribosomal RNA", at positions 338 to 795 of the family's 1533-position model. The record is from RNAcentral.
CCUACGGGAGGCAGCAGUGGGGAAUAUUGCACAAUGGGGGGAACCCUGAUGCAGCGACGCCGCGUGAGUGAAGAAGUAUCUCGGUAUGUAAAGCUCUAUCAGUAGGGAAGAAGAUGACGGUACCUGACCACGAAGCCCCGGCGAACUACGUGCCAGCAGCCGCGGUAAUACGGAGGGGGCAAGCGUUAUCCGGAUUUACUGGGUGUAAAGGGAGCGUAGUCGGCAGGGCAAGUCUGGAGUGAAAGCCCGGGGCCCAACCCCGGGACUGCAUUGGAAACUGCCAUGCUAGAGUGCUGGAGAGGUAAGCGGAAUUCCUAGUGUAGCGGUGAAAUGCGUAGAUAUUAGGAGGAACACCAGUGGCGAAGGCAGCUUACUGGACAGUAACUGACGUUGAGGCUCGAAAGCGUGGGGAGCAAACAGGAUUAGAUACCCGGGUAGUC